UUGUCGUCAGCUCGUGUCGUGAGAUGUGGUUAGUCCGCAACGAGCGCAACCCCUAUUGUUAGUUGCCAUCAUUCAGUUGGGCACUCUAGCGAGACUGCCGGUAAUAAACCGGAGGAAGGUGGGGAUGACGUCAAAUCAUCAUGCCCCUUAUGACCUGGGCUACACACGUGCUACAAUGGUUGGUACAACGAGUUGCGAGUCGGUGACGGCGAGCUAAUCUCUUAAAGCCAAUCUCAGUUCGGAUUGUAGGCUGCAACUCGCCUACAUGAAGUCGGAAUCGCUAGUAAUCGCGGAUCAGCACGCCGCGGUGAAUACGUUCCCGGGCCUU
This 328-nucleotide ribosomal RNA is filed under the name uncultured Streptococcus sp. Its description in RNAcentral is "bacterial SSU rRNA". It matches the Rfam family "Bacterial small subunit ribosomal RNA", at positions 1049 to 1382 of the family's 1533-position model. Lineage: Bacteria; Bacillati; Bacillota; Bacilli; Lactobacillales; Streptococcaceae. The record is from RNAcentral.